UCAUUUUCUUUUCAGUAUUGGAUAGUAUUAUUCGUAGAUAUUGGUGUGAAAAUAUAACAUUUUCUGCUGAAAUAGAAAUUUUAUUGAAGAAAAACAAAACCCUUGAGAGGACAGGCGCAAACAAGGAAAGUUCGGAAAAACCCAAACCAAAAAACAAAAAACAAAAAAGACAAAAAACCCAAGCGAAAAAAGAAAGAAAAAACAAGAACGAACAAGAGACGGGACCGCAAAGGGUCACAACCGAGGCCAAGCAAAGUCCACGCCAGAGCCGUCCCGGGUAGAGCACAACACAAGAACGCGCGCCAGAGAAA
RNAcentral lists this long non-coding RNA (311 nucleotides) under Salvia miltiorrhiza (redroot sage). Its description in RNAcentral is "long non-coding RNA (SMIL_LNC004290)". The record is from RNAcentral. Lineage: Eukaryota; Viridiplantae; Streptophyta; Magnoliopsida; Lamiales; Lamiaceae.